RNAcentral lists this long non-coding RNA (15296 nucleotides) under Capsicum annuum. RNAcentral's name for it is "long non-coding RNA (CANN_LNC020205)". The record is from RNAcentral. Lineage: Eukaryota; Viridiplantae; Streptophyta; Magnoliopsida; Solanales; Solanaceae.
CCCAUCCUAAUAUAUACAUACGGAUAGACACUACAAGCAGAGGGGAAAUACAAAAACUCCUCCAUUUUUUUUUCUUAAGGAUUCACCCCCAAAAAAUUACAUACAAAAUACAAUGACCAUAUACGCACAGUGAGUCACACCAUACAUACUAACUUCAUCAUCAACACACUCCAUUAACAUAGACCACCAAAAUGCCAUGGAGUAGAGAUCAUUCAAAAGUAGAGAUCCGUUUUUCCUUUUCUUCUUCAUCAUAACACACACACAACUACACGGAGAACAGAGUUGAUCGGAAAACGGGAGAGAUAAAAUAGAGUAUCAGCUGAACGAAAGGGACGCAAGCCGUCUUGUCUUGAAUUUUUUGGCAAAGCCGAAAUGUCUAUCUCUCACCGGUUCAGCCAUCACAGCACCAAAAUCCCUCUGUUUGGUUCAUUCCGAUGAGAUUUCGCCUGAAACACAUCGAAAAAUACCCCCAGGCGAUGGUCACUACUUUGAUUCAUUCUGAACCCACCAUCGAACAGUACACCACUCUUCUUUGACUGUUCUGUUUUCACAUUAUUGAUUUGGUUUCGAGUUGAGGUCGUUGUUGGUUCGAGAUUUGCGUGGUUUUGGUUGUGGCUUAUCAAUUUGGUUUUUUUGGCUGUUUUUGAUUUGUGGUUUGACUUUGAAAUUGCUCCCCGUUCAAUUUGAGCUCGUAAAUUGUAGUAAAAAUCUCCACGUUAAGGUCCAUCUUUUAUCUUAUUCUUGUUCUCCGUUAAUUCUUUAUUUUUGAUGUGAUGUGAAUGAUUAAUGUGGAAUUAUUUGGUGGUGGAUUGUAUAUUGAAAUGGGUUAAUCAUGUGGUUGAUAAUGGAUUUGGGGCGGGAAUGGAGAAAUUGAUAAAAGUUGAAUGUAGAUUAAUUUUGGUUUGUUGUCGUUUUGUUUAAUUAUGAAUAAGUAUGAAUGUGAUAGAUUUAUGAUAUGUUGAAAUUGAUAGGCAAUAUAGGUUCUGGUAGACAAAUUUUAGACUUGUUUCGAUUGAACGUAGGAAUGUGUGUAUGAAUGUUCCUUUCUAGUUUAUCGUAUUUAAAAUGUACUCAUUUAGCCGGGGAAUGCCCCGAGAUACAUUGUAUUUAUUCACCGGGGAAUGCCCCGACGUACUAUGUUGGCGGAAGACGUUCGUGAAAAAGGCCCUAGGCGUCGGGUAAAGCACGGGAGCAUAGUUAGGAUUAGUAUAGGUUAGAUAGGAUUUAUUUUCGUAUUUUUCUAUUUUGGACUGUAUAAAUUGGACUGAACACUAUUUUGAAUUUGUUUUGUUUCGUGUGUUUGAUUGAUUGUUUUAUGUGGUAUAUAUAUUUGUAAUAUCAAAAUUAGCCGAUACACUUCACCAAGCGACCGUGGUCGAACCACGGGAUCGAGGGGUGCCUAACACCUUCCCCUCGGUCAACAGAAUUCUUUAACCGGAAUCUUUAUUUGUAAACCAGUUUAAAGAGUCAAAAAGCAGUUUUGAAAAAGGAUUUUCAAAGGUGACUUGGCACACCUGAAUAUGCCAAGUUGCGACUUUAAGUUUAAAUGUCAAUAAUCCUUUUUGAAACAAAAUUUUUCACCUUUUGUCACAUAACAAUAAAAACCCUUUCGAAAUCUUAAAUCUAAUCUUUUUGGUUUAAAAAAAGGGUGUGACAGCUCUAGCGACUCUGCUGGGGAGCUUUUCAGAAUUCGAGCUUAUUUUUGGAGUUAUAUCGGCUUAGUUUGGCAUUAUGGGUGUAUAUACAUUGUUUGUGUUAUCGUGCAUGUAUUUUAUCAUUGUUGAGCACCUACUUGCUACGUGUUUAUAGUUUUUCUCUUAUGUGCUACUGCUUUAUAUCUGGCAUCAUUUGCAUAACCCGAGUCAAUUUUUUCUGCAACAAGUUUUGUAGUACACGUUGUGUACACAACCUAUAGUUAAGUCACCCUUAUUUUUAGAAGGGGGAGCCGUCGGCUGGUAUGGACUGGAUGGAAAGCUACCGCAACCACUAUCGACCAUACGCACCCCCGAAUAGCCUUGUUUGUAAACCCUAACGUAGGUCAGCCUUUAGGUCAUGCUUAUGUGCAUCAUAAUGAGACCUAGAGGGGCCCACUUGGUCUUUUGUAGGAGACUCACAUUUAAAGCAUCCUUACGUGCUAAAUGUUGCAUUUUUGAGGAUAGCGUGGUCAUUUGAUGGACUGAUUUGGGGAAAAACGUGUGUUAGAAGUAAAGUGUGUAGACAAGAAAGUGCUGAAAAAAAGAGCGAAAAAGAAAAGGUGAGCCAAAAAAAAGUGUUUCAUAGUUUGUUUAGAGUUCUUUAUGGCUUUCGUUUUUCACAAUAUAAAAAUUCAUAAUGAUUUUUUACCUUUUGCACUCAUUUCCAAAAAAAUAAAAAAAAAUCAUUAAAAAGAUUUUUCUUUGUCUCUUUAGUGAGCAUUCACCAUUCGAAAACUCAAAAAAAGUUUUUCUUUACAAUAGUAGGUUUUUAUAAAGGAAAAUUCAAAAAUGGUUGAAGUUUUGUAUAUUUUUUAUAACGAAAAUACCAAAAGAUUUUUAUUCAUAGUUUUUGGUGUCAGUUCUACGUGAAGUGUCAUUUUGAAAACUCAAAAAAAUAUAAAAUUUAUAUGUAUUUAGUCGUGUCUCUCAAUUCAAGGAUUAGUUUGUCAUUUAAUCCAUUAUUGUCCAAGCUGGACGAACUACGCGUACCUGAUUCUCGUCCUUCGGGGCGGGAUACGUAGGCAACCCUCGAUGGGUCCGAUAAAAAUUGGGUAGUUUUUAGUCUGGUCUAGAGUCGUCGAUUAAUCUUGGCCAAGUAGGCUGACCACGCUUAGUGGUACCAUUUGUUUUAAUCUGAGUCUAAAGUGGUUUGUUUCUUCAUAAUAACCUGUCUGUGUCAAAAUCCCGAGGGUCGGGAACUCCUCCCCUUUUAUCAAUUAUUAAAUGAUAAGCCUUGUAUGUUGUUACAGGAUGGAUCUGCCUCCAAGGUCUAAAUUCCUAAUGGUUUCUAAAGUGCCCAAAAAGUUAAUCAAGUGGUGGGGCACGCUCAACUACUCUGAAAGGCAUGAGUUAUCAAAGAAGCUAGUCACUCUCACUUCUCUCUUGUCUAUCAUGCCCCGUCCAAACUUGAUCGAGGCUGCAUUGACUUUUUGGGAUCCAACUUGUCUGGUUUUUAGGUUUGGGAGUUGUGAAAUGACACCUACACUGGCGGAGAUAUCUGUUUUAUUUAAAUUUCCCUAUAUUAAAAAGAUGAUGAUUCGAGCGCGGUGUCAUUCUCCCAAUAGGUUUAUCCACUGUUAUGGGUUGAAAGUUAAUGACCAUGUGGGUUGCCUUAACCAAUCCUGGAUCUCUUUCAAUUACUUGUAUGCUCGGUUUGGCCUCCUAGACGGUUUUGAUUAUUUUUUGGAUGAAUUUUAUACAACUAAGAAGAAUUGGGAGAAACGUCGCCUUGAAGUCUUCGCCUUUGUUCUGUUAGGCACUUUAGUAUUCCCCUUGGAAGAUAGGCGUAUUAAUACUCGGUUGCAAUCUGUAAUGAUGGAUUUAUUUAACAAGGAUAAGGGAGACAAGGUCACUAUCGUGCCUCUGAUCUUGGUGGAAAUAUACACAGCUUUGACCGAGAUAAAAUGGGGUAUGCGAUUUUUUGAGGGGAGCAACCUAGUGUUACAACUAUGGAUGAUGGAGCAUUUGCAUGCCCCUUCUUUGUUUAAAUCUGAUGUGAUUGACCGUUGUUUGCCUAAUCGAGUGAAACCAUAGAACAUAGAAUGGGUUUUCCUAAAUUCUCAUUGCCUAUAGAAGUUGACGCUUGGGUUGAGUUUCUUGAAUCAAGGACAGAUAGCAAUGUCUUGUGGACCUAUCUAUGGUUCCGACCGAAAGUAAUCUUGGUUGGAUCUAGCAUACACCCCCAUCUAGUUUUGUUGGGGCUUAAUUGUACCCGACCAUACACUUCUCUUAGGGUAAUGCGUCCAUUGGGUAGAGUGCAGGAUGUUCCACCAAUAGUGGACUUUCAACAAGAUGUGGAGUACUUGAGGGACCAAGUCAGAGGUGAGAUCAAGUAUAAGCAAUGCUGGAGUAAUGCAACAUGGCAAGGCGUGGAUACUCUCAGGACAGGUUUAGAUAAUCCCGGAUACACUCAAGGAUAUGAGGUCUGGUUACAAUUUAUUCCUCGGGGUGUCAGCAUACCAUUACCAGUGCAGCUUAGAGGGAGGAUAUAGGAUGAAUGCAUAGUUGACGACCAUCAGGAUGAAAGGGGUGGGGGCCAAAGUAGAGGCACUAAGAGUUCAGUUAAUAGGUUUGCUCAAAACUAUGGAGGGAUGCUAGAACGGUCUUUUUAAGUGCACUCCCCAUGAGGCAGGAAUACGUGCCAGAGGCGUUUUCCCAAAUAUCAAAGGUUCCUUACAAGAUAUGCUACAUAGUUUGAAUGGGAAAAAGAGAACUUCACAGAUGGGUCCAUCUCAGCCAGGGUCAUCACGCAGAGUAUCAGUCUGAAGGAGCAUUUCCUAUCUUUUGAUUAGUUUGAGUCCUUUACUUUUUUGUCAUUUGUAGUAUUGUUUCUUUGUUAAGUCAGUGUAAAGUUUGCUUUAACUUGGGAGACUUUAUUAGGAGCAUUACGUAUGUUGUCAUGUUAGUCUAAAAUGUCGUUCAAUCUUUGUUGAUUAGUAUCGAGGUUGUCUUAAUUUCAUUAUAUGUCUUUGUUGUUUCUUUCAUCAAAGCGUUAUGAUGUUGCUUCUUUCUUUUGUUUGUUUGUUUUCUUUUUUCGUAAAAAAAAACUUCAAUUAUGUGAUGUUUAUGCAUAUGCAUCCCGAACUACGCAAGAUCUAAUUCAUGUACAAUAUGAUACGUAGGCAACCUACUUUUUGGGUUCGAUCUAAUCAUUUUGUUUCUUGGUUUUUCAUUAUUUUUAUUUUAAGAAAAAACAAAAGCCAUAAAGAAUAAUAAAAGGAGAGAUAGCGAGAAAGGGAAAGAAAGAAAGAAUAAAGAGAGGAAAAAAGGAUAAAAAAAGAGGCUGACGCGAGAGAUGAGGGAAGUGAUGACGAAAAAAAAGAGAGUUAAGAAAAAUAGAUAGGUGUGAUUAGAGUAAAGAAACACAUGGGUGUAGCAAAAGAUCAGGAUGGUGUUAAAAUGACCUUGCUACCCUCAAAGGUUGGUAGAAACACACAUGAAUCUAGGACGAUUUUACAAAUGUGAUUCUCAUGCUUGUUGUGUGACCUAAUCCUAACGGGUUUUGCCUUUGAUGAGCAUGUUCUUGCAGAUAAGUGGUUGGUUUGCAGCACUCUGGCUAGUCACCCGUACUUCACUAGAUCAAAAGCAAAGCCUGCCAUAGCUAUUAGGGAGAUUGAAAAUUCACUCAUUGACCCAGAUCAGAAUCCCAGGAAAGAAAGUUCAGAACGCAAUGAUGAGGUAUUGAGACUUAGACAAUAAUUUCUAGAUCUGCACCGAGCAUGGGCUAGUGGUAUGCCUCCUCCUCCGCUCCCUGAAGAUCUUGGGAACAUCCCCAAUUGCCCACCGCUCUCUCAGGCGCAUUUCUUUAUUCCCAUUGAGUCACCGGAGCACGGACCAGGAUUCACUCCAUAACAAUAUUACCCUGGCACUUCUAGUGUGCCCCUGGCAGUUCCUCAACCAAGGCCCGUGACUUAGUCGGUGCCAUCAUCAGUAUCUGUGUUCGUGGCUCCAUCACCACCUGAUGCAAGCUCCACAAAAUCAUCCAUUAGCUCCACCAAAUUACCAAAACCCCUCCAGACCUGGUUUCCAACCCAGGCCCGAGUACAAGAAUGAGAAUGUGGUCAAAAAUUAGUUCAUACCUCUUGGUGAGUCAUAUUCUAGCUUGUUUGAUAGAUUUAGAAAGAUAAAGGUCUUAAGCCCAAUUCAAGGAAGGCUUUCGAAUCCAUCUCUGAGAAAUCUAGAUAAUUCGUUAAGAUGUGCGUAUUGUUCUGAAAUACCAGGGCACGAUAUUGAGAAAUGUUGGCAUUUGAAUAGAGCUGUCCAAGAUUUAAUUAAUGCAAAACAAAUUCUGUUCCAAACCCCAAAAGCUCUAAACAUUAACCAAAAUCUAUUGCCAACCCAUGCUGAAAUCAAUAUAUUAGAACUGAUAUAUGAUGGGAAAGAGACGUCAAGGUGUUAUAAGCCUAUUUUCAGAAUAUAGACCAAUGAGGACAAAUCAGUGAAUGUGGUAGAUUUGUUGAAAGCAAUGUCAUUAAGCCAGGAAGGAAUGGGAGAAGAUAAAACCCAAGAAAACACAAAGAAACCUGUGAUCACAGUGCAAGGUGCCAGAAGAUAUGUUGAUUUAAGUCAGGAUAAACCUAAGUUGAUGGUGGUAUGAUCUCUAGGUAACCCUAUCUUAACGGUGAAAGAAGCACUGGCAGCACCUAUUAUUCUCAAACUGGUGACCCAACCUCCGAUAGUUGAUAUAAAAAAGUUCCCUGGAACUAUAAGCGGUCUGUGAUGACCUAUCAGGGGAAGGAAGUGGUGGAAGAUGUAGAUGAGAUAAGGGGUUUAACUCCGUCAGGGAGAUGCUUCGUGCCUAAAAGUUUAAGAAAGUCCAAUCCAAUUGUGAGUGGAUGUUUAUCUAUCAAAAAGCCUGUCACUGAAGAAGCCGAGGAAUUUUUGAAAAAGAUGAAGUUGCCAAAGUGUUCAAUAAUAGAUCAGUUGAAGAAAACCCCUGCUCAAAUUUCCCUCUUAUCUUUGUUAUUGCAUCCCAAGGAACAUCGUGAUAUUAUAUUGAAGGUAUUAAAUGAAGCAUAUGUUCCUAGGGAGAUUACAGUAAAUCAGCUUGAGAAAAUGGUUGGAAAAAUCUUUGAGGUCAAUUGAAUCAGCUUCUCUGACGAUGAAUUGCCCGUUGAAGGUAUGGGGCAUAACCGGGGUCUUUACAUUACGGUGAAGUGUAAAGAUUUCGACGUCACUUAUGUCAUGAUUGAUGGAGGUUCAGGUGUAAAUAUCUGCCCUAUUUCUACUUUGCAAAAGUUGAGUAUUGGUGUUGAGAAUAUCAGGCCCAAUAAUGUAUGUGUCAGGGCGUUUGAUGGUGCAAAAUCAAACUCCAUUAGUGAAAUAGAACUAAUGUUGAUUAUAGGGCUUGUUGAGUUCACCAUAGAUUUUCAAGUAUUGAAUAUAGACUCUUCUUACAAUCUAUUUUUGGGAAGACCGUGGAUCCAUAAGGCCAACGCGGUUGCAUCUAUAUUGCACCAAACGAUCAAGUCUGAGCAUGAUAGGCAAGAAGUGGUUAUUCAUGGUGAAGGGGAUUUGUCCGCCUACAAAGAUUCUCCCUUAUUCCUUAUUGAAGCAAACAAUGUAGAGGAGACAUUUUUCUAUCAAACUUUUGAUACAGUAUCGGUAAAUUGUAUCGUUGAAGGCCAGGUUAUUCCAGGGCCAUAAUUGUCUCGUGUUUCUGUCAUGAUGAUAAACGAAAUGUUAAAAUAUGGAUUCGAGCCAGGAAGGGGUUUGGGAGUGUCUCUGCAUGGUAUGGUUUUUCCCAUAUGUCAGAAUGAGAACAUGGGCACUUUUGGUUUGGGAUUUGAACCUAUGGCUGAAGAUCUGAAUAAGAACAAGGGAAGAAAAAAGGAAACAUGGUCACUCCCUCGCCCAGUGCCCCCACUCAGUAAGUCAUUCAUCAAGAGCAUUGUCGGGGAACCUAUAGAGCUUGGAGCUGAAUUGGUUGAUGAUUUCUAGAACCUGUUGAUCGAAGUUAACAUGGUUGAAGCAGGAGAAGGUACCAGUAAGGCAGACGUGAAUUUCAUAGGUCCAGCUGUUCGGCUCAACAAUUGGGAAGUCACUUCUCUCCCCGUCAAGCGGGAGUUUUGGUAGUUUGUUUUGUUUUUCUUUCUGUUUAUCCGAGUUAUUUCAGGGUUGUAACUGGGAUUUUAGUUUGUUUAUGUUAUGUUUUUAUUUGUGUUUAAACCCUCCUAUCUUUCCCUUUUAAUGAUAUGUAAUGUCCCUUUAUUUUGUGUCUAAUAUAUUUUGAUUUUGUUUUCAGCCUGAUCUUAUAAUCCAAACUAAUAAAGUUAUAAUGAAUCAAGAGGGGGAAUAUGAUGAAGAAGAGGCACUAGAGGAAAUAAGCAAAGAAUUGGAACAGUUUGAAGACAAGCCGAAUCCUAAUUUGAAUGAAACUGAGCCAAUCAAUCUAGGGAAUCAAUAAGAUAUUAAGGAAACUAAAAUCAGUGUACAUGCUUUGCCACAGCUAAAAGUUGGAAUGAUUCAAGUAGUAAUUGUUUAUAAGGAUGUUUUUGCAUGGUCUUAUAAUGAUAUGCCUGGUUUAAACACUGAAUUAGUGACUCAUAAAUUGCCAACUGAUCCCACAUUCCCCCCUGUGAAAUAGAAGUUGAGGAAGUUUGAGGAAGUUUAAAACUGAUGUAAGUAUCAAAGUCAAAGAGGAUAUCAUGAAUCAACUUGAAGCCAAAGUCUUUCGACUGACUCGUUAUUCUACGUGGUUAUCCAAUAUUGUUCCUGUCCCAAAGAAAGAUGUCAAAAUUUGAGUAUGUGUUGAUUACCGUGAUUUGAACUGACCAAGUCUGAAGGAUGAUUUUUCGUUAGCCAGCAUCCAUAUUUUACUGGACAAUUAUGCUAAACAUGAGGUUGCCUCUUUUGUAGAUUGUUAUGCCAGAUACCACCAGAUCAUUAUGGAUGAUGAAGAUGCGAAACAUACGUCUUUUAUCACACCAUGGGGGACUUAUUGCUAUCGAGUGAUGCCGUUCGGUUUGAAGAAUACUGGAGCAACAUACAUGAGAGUCAUAACCACUAUGUUUCAUGAUAUGAUGCAUAAGGAGAUUGAGGUCUAUGUAGAAGAUGUGAUUAUUAAGUCAAAAAGUCAGGUUGAUCAUGUUAAAGAUUUAAGAAUGUUCUUUGAAAGGAUCCGUAGGUAUAAUCUCAAGGUCAACCCGACAAAAUGUGUGUUUGGAGUUUCGUCUGGAAAGCUGUUGGGGUUUGUAGUCAGCCGUUGGGGAAUUGAAUUGGAUCCCUCGAAAAUCAAAGCCAUUCAGGAUUUUCCCCCGCCCAAGAAUAGGACAGAGGUGAUGAGUUUGCUUGGUAGACUGAACUACAUUAGUAAGUUUAUUGCUCAACUCACAACCACGUGUGAGCCCAUUUUCAAGUUGCUGAAAAAGAGUGUUCGGUAGAGUGGACUGAAAAUUGUCAGGAAUCAUUCAAAAAAAUCAAAAUAUAUCUGUCAAAUCUGCCCGUGCUGGUACCACCGAAGCCUGGUAGGCCUUUGUUCUUAUAUUUAUCGGUUAUGGAUAAUUCUUUCGGUUGUGUCCUGGGUCAACAUGAUGUCGCGGGCAAAAAGGAGCAGGCUAUUUUAUUAUCUUAGCAAAAAGUUCACUGCAUAUGAGGCCAGGUACCCUCUUCUUGAAAGGACGUGUUCCGCCCUGACUUGGGUAGUACAGAAUUUGAAGCAUUCUCUUUCGUCCUAUACUUCUUAUCUCAUCUCCUACAUGGAUCCGUUGAAGUAUAUAUUUCAGAAGCCUAUGCCAACAAGUCGAUUAGCAAAGUGGCAAAUAUUGCUUACUGAGUUCGACAUUGUAUAUGUAAGUCUAACCGCCAUGAAAGCCCAAUCUUUAGCAGAUCAUAUUGCUGAGAAUCCUAUUGAUAAAGAGUAUGAGCCAUUAAAAACAUAUUUUCCUGACGAAGAGGUAUUGUGUAUCGAUGAAGUCAUUGUAGAUGUCAAUCCAGGUUGGAAACUAUUCUUUGAUAGAGCCGUUAACAUGAAGGGAGUUAGAAUAGGUGCAUUUCUUAGCUCUGAGGAGGGGCAAAAUUUCCUUGUAACAGCACAACUUUAAUUUUAUUGUACCAAUAACAUGGCGGAAUAUGAAGCAUGCAUUCUUGUUUUGAGGCUAGCUGUUUAUAUAGGACUCCAGGAACUAUUAGUGUCGGGAGAUUCAAAUUUGCUCGUCCAUCAGAUUCAAGGCGAUUGGGAGAUGCAAGAUUUGAAGCUCAUACCAUAUCGACAAUGCUUGUAAGAGCUAUGUCAACGGUUUGUGUCAGUAAAAUUUAGGGACAUUCCAAGAAUUCACAAUGAGAUUAAUGAUGCUUUAGCCACUCUGUCUUCAAUGCUCCAACAUCCUGAUAAAUCCUAGAUCGAUCCAGUGCAUAUACAAAGUCGUGAUCAACAUGCUUACUGUAAUGCAGUUGAAGAAGAGCUCGAUGGCAAACCUUGGUUCUUUGAUAUCAAGCGAUACAUUCAGUAAGGAGAAUACCCAACACAUGCCACCAGUGAUCAAAAGAGGACUAUUAGGCGUUUGGCUAGCGGAUUUUUCUUAAGUGGGGGAAUCUUAUACAAAAGAACCCCAGAUCUAGUAAUUUUGAGGUCUGUAGAUGCAAAAUAAGGCUCAACAAUUAUGGUUGAAAUACACUCGAGAGUAUACGGACCGCAUAUGAACGGUUAUGUCUUAUCAAAGAAGAUUCUUCGAGCAGGUUACUACUGGCUUACUAUGAAGAGGGAUUCUAUUCGAUUUGUUUGAAAGUGUCAUCAAUGUCAAGUACACGGUGAUCUGAUACAUUCUCCUCCUACUGAGUUGCAUACAAUGGCUGCUCCGUGGCCUUUUGUAGCUUAGGGAAUGGACGUGAUUGGACCGAUUGAGCCAAAAGCAUCAAAUGGGCAUAGAUUCAUUCCGGUGGCCAUUGAUUACUUCACAAAGUGGGUGGAAGCAGUAACUUUCAAGUCAGUGACAAAGGAAGCAGUAGUUGAUUUUGUUCAUGCCAAUAUUAUUUGUAGGUUUGGAAUUCCUAAGAUGAUCAUUACAGACAAUGCUGCCAAUAUCAAUAGUUAUUUGAUGCAAGAAGUAUGUCAACAGUUUAAGAUCGCACAUCAAAAUUCCACUCCAUAUCGUCCAAAGGAUAAUGGCGUUGUGGAAGUCGCCAAUAAGAAUAUCAAGAAGAUACUGCGGAAAAUGGUACAAGGGUCUAGACAAUGGCAUGAGAAGUUGCCGUUUGCAUUGCUAGGUUAUCGCACUACUGUUCGUACUUCAACAGGUGCAACUCCAUAUUUAUUGGUGUAUGGGACAGAAGCAGUCAUCCCUGCAGAAGUUGAAAUUCUCUCUCUUCGAGUCAUUGUGGAAGAAGAGAUUGAUGAUGACGAGUGGGUCAAAACCCGACUAGAACAAUUGAGUUUGAUUGAGGAAAAAAGGCUAACGUCGGUAUGUCAUGGCCAAUUGUAUCAGAAGAGAAUAGGUCGAGCAUAUAACAAAAAGGUAUGACCCAGGCAUUUUGAAUAUGGUCAGUUGGUAUUGAAGUGUAUCCUUCCUUACCAGGUUGAAGCGAAAGGCAAGUUCUCCCCAAACUGGCAAGGUACCUUCAUUGUGAAGAAAGUGUUGCCCAAUGGAGCCUUAUAUUUGCAGAUAUUGAAGGCAAAAUAUCAGAAAUGGCUAUCAAUGUUGAUGCGGUCAAAAUAUAUUAUGUAUGAUGUUUUGUCCUUUGUUGAUUUUAUUGCAUGUCUAGUACUUGCAUUUUUAAAGAUUGAUAUGAUAAAGACAUUUUAUUCUUUUAUCCAAACAUUGUGUCAUCCUUUAUUUACCCGUUUGAGCUUAGUUUUAUUUUUCUUUCAUAUCCCUCUUUUAGAAUCAAAAUAUGAGUCAAAGAUAGAUGUCAGGAAAGUAAGAAUAAAAGAAAGAGUUCGAAAAAAAAUUCAAAUCAAAACAAAGAACAAGAUGAUGGAACUAUGUUCGACUUGAUUCUCCUCUCUUGGGAGUGAGAUACGUAGGCUGCCCUACUCAGGGCUCGGUCCAACCAAAUAAAUAUUUUAGAGUCACCUAGUCAACAAAACGGGGCAUGAGUUAACAUGUUGUUUGAGUCGAUUCCAAAAAUUGUAAGUCUCACCCCCACUUCAAGUGUCGUUUGAGCCUCUUGCCAUCCUUUUAUAACCUUAUCCAAAAGCCAAGCUACAACCAAAGAAAGUUCUUCAGAUCAAUCUUUGAUAAUGUUAAGGCUAUGCAUGCAAUGGAUAUGAUGAUACAUUGUGGGGUACUACUUGUCUUCCUUAGCAUAAGAAAUCAGGAAAGAAAUAAAAAUGAGAGAGUCUUACGGGUGAAAACCCUCACGGGCACCAUUAGGCGAUGGGGAGUUGAGAGAAAUAAAAUGAGAGAGUUUUAUUGGUGAAAACCCUCAUGGGCACCGUAAGGCUAUGGUGAGGUUAAAAGAAAGGUGAAAAGGAAAGGGAUUUAUUGGAAAAAAUAUUUUAAGAUGUCAUCAAUUGAAUGAUAUGUGUGAGUCCACUAAGUUUGAAGAAGCGGCUCAGCGGCAAAGGCAUGAGCUCAACAACAAAUGGAAGUUUGGGGACAGGAUCAGGCAGCUUAAUCCAAAAUGCAUGUCAUAGUCAUUGGAGUUGGUUGUGAUGUUCAGAUAAGUUUUCUUCUUUGUUUAAAAAGAGGGACAUUGGCCUUUUUAUUUCAUUUACACAUUUAUAUUUUUUCUCCUUUUAUGUCUUUUAUUAAAAGAAAAUUCACCACCGUUUCUUUACAUUUUUUAGUCUUUUCUGUGUCAAAACAAGCGAGAAGGGAUUUCAAAACUCGCUACCAGUUUCCCCAAUUGUAUGAGGAAAAUCCAAGGACCAGCACCUAAAAGAAAUAUGAUCUUAAUUCAACACAAAGCAAAGAAAGUCUAUCAACCAACAGGCUGUUGGGUUCGUGGGAGUAUUCAGAUUUGGAAAAGGGUGUAUCUCAGAGGCACGGUAAAAUAAAAAUUCAUUGUUUGAGUCAAAACUCAUUUCCCUCAAUCUGGAUCUGAGUCAAUGACGCGAUGAGACAGGGGCAAAUGUCAACAAUCUGAAACAAGGACAAAAGAAACAAGUGUUGCAGCAGAUGUAUGGAAAGCCAAAGUAUUGCAAACUACCACUAAGUUUUUAACUGAUAAAAUUUUCUUUGAUGAAACAGGGGCAAAUUUCUUUUCAGCAAGAUCAUUUACCGUUGGGAAGGCAUAUCUGGGAUUUUACUUUCUGUUCAGGACCCUCUUGAAAAAUGGGAUUUUACUUUCUGUUCAGGACCCUCCUGAAAAAUGCGACUUUACUUUUAUUCAGGACCCUCCUAAAAAUGAGAUUUUACUUUAUGUUCAGGACCCUCCUGAAAAAUGAGAAUUUACUUUAUGUUCAGGACCCUCCUGAAAAGUGAGAAUUUACUUUUUGUUCAGGACCCUCCUAAAAAAUGGGACUUUACUUUCUGUUCAGGACCCUCCUGAAAAAUAGGAUUUUACUUUCUGUUUAGGACCCUCCUAAAAAAUAGGAUUUUACCUUAUGUUCAGGACCCUCCUGAAAAAUGAGAAUUUACUUUAGGUUCAGGACCCUCCUGAAAAAUGGGAUUUUAAUUUCUGUUCAGGACCCUCCUGAAAAAUGGGACUUUACUUUCUAUUCAGGACCCUCCUGAAAAAUGAGAUUUUACUUUCUAUUCGGGUCCUUCCUGAAAAAUGGGACCACGCUUUCAAAAAUGAAAUACUGCCUUAUGAUAAUCUUUGUGUGGGAUAUUUUUAGUUCUAGUUUUGAUUUUGAUUAAUUUUUGUUCUAGUUUUGAUUUUGGUUUCAGGAUCCCGCCUAAAGAAUAGGGUGAUGAAAUCGAAAGUCAGGAUCCCGCUUGAAGAGUAGGGAAAAUAAGUUAAAAGUCAAUAGAUUGAAAAUAGCAAGUCAGGAGCCUACAUGGAGAACAUGUUGAAGAAACUGAAAGUAGUCAACAAGUUGAAAAAAUUGCAAGUCAGGAUCCCGCCUGAAGAAUAGGGUGAUGAAACUCAAGUCAAGACUUCAAAAGAAGCUACAUAGAUAGGCUUUUGUAAUUUCACUGAUGUUUUAACUGGUAAUUUUUAUUUUCGAUGUAAUGACAGAGCCACGGACCGGAACCUUGACAGGGCCUCACUCGACUCUCCAACUCGGUAUAUUCUUUUUUCUUUCAGUCUUUGGGGAUACCUGCAACUUGAUCCCUCAUAACUAAGGAUGAUUAUGAUGUCCAAAGUCAAGACUUGGUUUCCCUCCUUCCUUCUGUUUUAUUCUUUUUGAAUAAUGGUCGGGACAAAUUAUCUCGUUCUCUACUUCUUUGUCUAAAAACACUUUGUGUUUACAUUCAAAGGGAGCAUGAUGUAGACACCUAAUUUUGUCCCUCCCGAGAGUCACUUUUACUCGUUCUACCUUAUCCUACCUUGUACCCUCAACUGUGUAAUUAUCCCUCUAUAAAAUGACAAAAAAAAUAAUAAUAAUAACAACCCAUAAAAAAAUGUAUCUUGUUUUGAUCCUAUCCUAACAACAUCUCCAAUUAAAAGCGGACACCUCACCCCUCACCCCAUAUCCUACCCCUACCCCUACCUCACUACCCUACUCCACUACCCCAUCCUAAUACAUACAUACGGAUAGACACUACAAACAGAGGGGAAAUACAAAAAAUCCUCCAUUUUUCUUUCUUAAGGAUUCACCCCCAAAAAAUUACAUACACAAUACACUGACCAUAUACGCACAGUGAGUCACACCAUACAUACUAACUUCAUCAUCAACACACUCUAUUAACACAGACCACCAAAAAACCAUGGGGUAGAGAUCAUUCAAAUGUAGAGAUCCAUUUUUCCUUUUCUUCUUCCUCACAACACACACAGAACUACACGGAGAACAGAGUUGAUCAGAAAAUGGGAGAGAGAAAAUAGAGAAUCAGCUGAACGAAAGGGAUACAAGCCGUUUGGUCUUGAAUUUUUCGGUAAAUUUCUUGCCGAAAUGUCUAUCUCUCACCGGUUCAGCCAUCACAGCACCAAAAUCCUUCUAUUUGGUUCGUUCCGGCGAGAUUUUGCCUGAAAUACGCCAGAAAAUACCCCCAGGCGAUGGUCACUACUUCGAUUCAUUGCGAAACCACCAUCGAACAGUACACCACUCUUCUUUGACUGUUCUUUUUUCACAUUAUCGAGUUGGUUUUGAGUUGAGGUCACUGUUGGUUCGAGAUUUGCUUGGUUCCAGUUGUGGCUCAUCAAUUUGGUUGUUUUGGCUGAUUUUGAUUUGCGGUUCAACUUCGGAAUUGCUCCUCAUUCAAUCUGAGCUCGUAAAUUGCAGUAAAAAUCUCUACGUUAUGGUCUAUCUUUUAUCUUAUUCUUGUUCUCCGUUAAUUCUUUAUUUUUGAUGUGUGAUCGAUUGUUAUUGUCUCAAUUUUCUCUUAUUUUGGAUGUGAUGUGAAUGAUUAAUAUGGAAUUAUUUGGUGGUGGAUUGUAUAUUGAAAUGGGUUAAUCAUGUGGUUGAGAAUGGAUUUGGGGCGGGAAUGGAGAAAUUGAUAAAAGUUGAAUGUAGAUUAAUUUAGGUUUGUUGUCGUUUUGUUUAAUUAGGAAUAAGUAUGAAUGUGAUAGAUUUAUGAUAUGUUGAAAUUGAUAGGCAAUAUAGGUUCGGGUAGGCAA